AUUGAACGCUGGCGGCAUGCCUUACACAUGCAAGUCGAACGGCAGCGGACCUUCGGGUGCCGGCGAGUGGCGAACGGGUGAGUAAUAUAUCGGAACGUACCUUUCAGUGGGGGAUAACGUAGCGAAAGUUACGCUAAUACCGCAUAUUCUGUGAGCAGGAAAGCAGGGGAUCGCAAGACCUUGCGCUGAUUGAGCGGCCGAUAUCAGAUUAGCUAGUUGGUGAGGUAAAGGCUCACCAAGGCGACGAUCUGUAGCGGGUCUGAGAGGAUGAUCCGCCGACACUGGAACUGAGGACACGGUCCAGACUCCUACGGGAGGCAGCAGUGGGGAAUUUUGGACAAUGGGCGCAAGCCUGAUCCAGCCAUGCCGCGUGAGUGAAGAAGGCC
This 386-nucleotide ribosomal RNA is filed under the name uncultured bacterium. RNAcentral describes it as "bacterial SSU rRNA". It matches the Rfam family "Bacterial small subunit ribosomal RNA", at positions 30 to 416 of the family's 1533-position model. The record is from RNAcentral.